RNAcentral lists this non-coding RNA (189 nucleotides) under Desulfosporosinus sp. RNAcentral's name for it is "Lysine sequence". It matches the Rfam family "Lysine riboswitch aptamer". From Rfam's summary of the family: Riboswitches are metabolite binding domains within certain messenger RNAs that serve as precision sensors for their corresponding targets. Allosteric rearrangement of mRNA structure is mediated by ligand binding, and this results in modulation of gene expression. Lineage: Bacteria; Bacillati; Bacillota; Clostridia; Eubacteriales; Desulfitobacteriaceae. The record is from RNAcentral.
AGGUGUGGUAGAGGCGCGAAUGACAAAAGUACCAUGGAGGAAGUUGCGUAAACUUAUGAGCCCGUGGAAAAGGGGAUUUCGCCGAAGUCCAAAAAUUGCGUAGUUUUUGGAACUGGGUCUGUGGUUAAGAACUGCAGGACUGUCACGUGAUGUUUUAGACACGACAUCGCGUGGAGAACUACUCCCAAC